This 253-nucleotide ribosomal RNA is filed under the name uncultured bacterium. Its description in RNAcentral is "partial 16S ribosomal RNA". It matches the Rfam family "Bacterial small subunit ribosomal RNA", at positions 524 to 776 of the family's 1533-position model. The record is from RNAcentral.
UACGUAGGUGGCAAGCGUUGUCCGGAAUUACUGGGUGUAAAGGGCGUGUAGGCGGGAACAUAAGUCGGAUGUGAAAUUCCAGGGCUCAACCCUGGCGCUGCAUCUGAAACUAUGUUUCUUGAGUGCUGGAGAGGAAAGCGGAAUUCCUAGUGUAGCGGUGAAAUGCGUAGAUAUUAGGAGGAACACCAGUGGCGAAGGCGGCUUUCUGGACAGUAACUGACGCUGAGGCGCGAAAGCGUGGGGAGCAAACAGG